Molecule: long non-coding RNA, 1802 nt
Filed under: Homo sapiens (human)
Lineage: Eukaryota; Metazoa; Chordata; Mammalia; Primates; Hominidae
Description: HSALNT0166545
Source: RNAcentral
GUUGCCAUCUCAUCGUCAGUUACCUCUCCACUCUCACCCUGGGAACACAAAGCUCACGAUGGUUCCAAGCCUGUAUUUCUCUCCCAUCACUGCUUUAGUUCAGUGCUUAUGCCCAGGGUAUUGUUUCUCUGCAUAUUGGGCUUCUCAGCAUUCUUUGCUGAUGUUCCGGGGCUGGGGUUUCGAGCACUCCACCGUCUGCCACCAAACAACUCCACAGCGUGAGCCAAAGUUGGGCCUUCAUACCGUCCAUCCUCCUGUGAAAGAGCCACAUGGUGAACACAAUAGGAAGCAUCAAGCAAUGGGGAAGUAAAUAUAUUAAUGUCUCCCAGAAAAUUCCAAGAGGUGGAAGAGCACAGACGGCCACAGAAGAAUAAUGAUCUGGCCACCCAAGUGACUGUUUUCUAACUCACAAGAUUCUCUGUCAGGAAUUUCAUCAUGUCCCCCGUUGUCCUGGUCACAUCACUGCUGAGUUCCAGUGACAUGCUUUAAUACAUCAACUGGGGAACAAAAACUUCCCAUCCCAUUUACAGAGGUUAAAUUGCAGAACUACCACUGUAGGAAAAUUCAUUUAGACUUACUUUGCAAAUUAGGGCCUUGGACAUCCUGGAAGGGAGAGGGGCAGGGUAUCAAUCUAAGUAAAAUCAAGUUGUAUUUGUCCAUUAUUGCCAGGUAGGUUUUCAACUAGUUUGAUGCUUGGGACAGUCGGACUUGAAAUACAGGGUGUGUGUGACAUGCAUGAAAUUCCCUUUGAAGGGCCCCAGGGAGCUCCUAAAAUAGUUGGGCUGCCAUCCCCUUGAGUGGCUGAAAUCUAAAGAUAGGGAGCCCAUGGGACUCAGAACACCAUACAUAUUAGGAUGCUCUGAGCAGCAACAACACACUCAAGGGGCAGGCAAUUGUUCACAGUAGCUACUGCUUCUAAGGCAACUCUGUGUAGCAUCCUGUAAGUAACAGCAGGGAUCUAUUAAUUAAACAAUUGUCAAUGAUUCUCCCCAUAAGUCAGUUAAUAAAACCACAAAAAGUUGCCUAUGAGCUAAAGAUGAUAUUGAUAUUUCAUACACUGUAUAAGCGGGCUCUUUAAAAAUUAAUUUCCAUGUACUGUGUUUACUCUUCAAAAACAUUUCAGGCUGGCUCUCCUUUGCAGUUCCAAAGAAAUGCUUAUGGAUAGAUUUUGCUUUGUUGCAGAUCAUAUGCAAAAAACAAAGAAGCUUUGUGUGUGUGUGUGCUUGCUCCUUCAGCCUAAUGUUUAAUAACUAUCUGAUGUUAUGACUUGUGCAUUCCCACUUCCUGCAUCCUGCUGUGGAUCCCAGGAUGCUGAAUAACUUGGGUACUUGACAAAGAAACCUUUGGGUGACCUCUUAUAGUGGGACAUUGUGACUUAUGGCUGUCCAUGAUCUGUUUCUCCCUUCUCUAACCAUACCCCGAUUUUACUUUAACUGUCUAUUCUCCACUGGAUAUAGUCUCGAUGGGUGUGUCAAUCAAGAUGAAAUAUCCUCCUUUGACCAAUGAUUGGCACAUGAUCCCAAUAAGCCAAUCAGAAGCCCCUUCCUGGAGCAGGGUUCUUGAAUGCAGUGAUACAGAGAAUGAAAAUGGUUGGAGAUCAGUCCAUCUGCUGGAGGCCUGCUGAAGAGAAUCCCUGCUAACAAGUCACUAGGAGUGACUUCAAAUUGGAAUAAACAUUUCAUGAAUGAAACCUAAUGGAUACGUUUUAACUACCAUUUUGAAUAACAUACUCUGAAUCUGAAAGAAGAGUAAAACUUUUAUUUAUGGAUUUUAACCAAUACAUCUUUAAAAGCUUAAUAGGC